CAUAACACCCUCACACUUUCAACAUUUUUUUGAAGUAAUGAAGCUUGUAUCAUAAGGAUCAUAUUUUCUAGUACAGUAGCUACUUGGUUAAAACGUUUCCCUUACGUCAAUGAUUGUACAAUGCUCUGGUGCCACUCAAUGAUGGUUGUGCCUGUUGCGUGUCGAAUAGAAAUAGAGGGCGGGGACUAAAGGCAAGAAACCGCAAAGGAUUAACCAAUCAAGGGAUUCCGAUACAUUUUGUGGGCCUGUACAUUCUAAUAUAAUUAUCAGAAACUGGAGUGUAUUUAUUCCGCCUAUUCUGUUGCAAAACGUUUCUUAAACGGAAGCAAACGAAAGGGGGAGGGAGCUACCCGAAUUUGUCCAAUAGAAACUAGUUUUGCUCUCUUUGAUUUGUUUGGUUCUUAAACGGGUUUCGUAAUGAAUACACCCUUGAUGUUGACGUUUCCAGUACCUCAUUGUGCAGCCCACCCACCCAUAAAGAGGCUUUUAACAUCAAAGUUUAACCUGUGGCUAAAGUAGUUCAAUUUCCUAUUGACAGUAAUAAAUUAACGGACUUUACGCACCAGUGAAAGACACCGGAUAAUCGAUAUUGUUUUAGGCUGACAAUUGGAAUUGAUGUCUCAUUUCUCAUCCAUGCUAACGUCACCUGGCUGUCUAAAAUUGAUGAUGUGAGAUGAGGCGGCUAGCGACAACAUAGCUAUUCAGCAAGCUGAAGAAUACUCAAAGGAAAGAGAAGAAAAGACUUCACUUCUCUCACUAGUUUAACGCCAAGUGGAAUUUCGUAUUUGUUUUGACGAAAUUGUGUUUAACUCGUGAGCAAAUGUCUAAAUUAUAGUUAAUCUUAGUCCAACACGCGCCACAGUUUUCCGACGUUUCAACUGGAUCAAAGAGUGACUUUUCCGCAAUGGAAUUAAAGUAAUGGGGGUGAAUUGCUGCUCGGACCUCUGUGUGUCUUCCCACUAUGUGGACGCGUCCCUCAUGUACCUGCUGGAGUACUACACCUACCACCUGUGUGCCUUUGACUACAGGUACCGCUACCAGCCCCUGGCCCCCCUGGGCUACAAGAUGGAGGUGUGGGACAGGUCAGAGGGGGGACACUCGUACUCCAAAGAGCAGCCAGCAAUCCCGAGUGGGGCGGGUGCAUCCAGACAGACAGGAAACAGGAAGUGAUGCCUCCUGCUGCUGUAGGGGAGAAGGACCCACCUGCUGCUGCUCAGGAUGACUAGCAGUAGCAGCCGUGUGUGUGUGUGUGUAUGCUUGCCAUUUGAGGCGUGCAUGUUUUACACAUAUGUGCAAAUCACCCGCACAAAAGUGAAGAGACGGUGCAAACUGUGGUGCCUCCAAAUAAGUGUGCUGUUGUGAAGGAUCUGCAAAGACUUUCUGCUGUGAUGGCAAGAUUGGCCUUUUGGCUGUAAGUUGGUUGGGUUGUCACUGUAGAAACCCCAUCCCUUUUUAGUCCUUGUUUUAUAUUUAACAUGAUUGUUAGCUCAUACCAGUUUUAAUCCAUGUUGUUUUAAUUAUCUCAGUUCUUUAACCACUGUCUUAAGACUCAUGAAAUAAUUAUUGGAUGAUUUACUGGCUGAUUUUGGAUUAGCUUUCCAUACCCUAGUCAAAACCUAAGCUACUAGGGGUUGAAAACCAAGCCUGGUCUUAGAUCUGCAUUUAUACCUGUAGAGACGGGUGAAAAGAGUAUCUGUAAUUAGACGUGAAAAAAAACAGUAGUUCUUUCAGCUUCACUGAUUUCCCCCCACUCCUUUUGGAGGGAGAAAGAGGAAUCCUAGGAGACCUGGCUUUCUCUAUUCUCUAUCAGCCCCAGUAGCUUGUGCCUUGUAAAUCAUGAUUGUAUGCCCCGUCAGCUGCACAUUUUGACACUGCACUGUGACAAGUCUAAGAAUGAUCUUUUCAGAGAGGAGAAAUGUCAUUGUUUAUACGUUCCACAGAUCUAGGCCAAUAGGAAGGCCUUAUGUUGGGAGGUAGAGAUGCCUUUUGAACAUGUCGCUUGAACCUACCUACCUGUGCAUGAUCAAUUCAGCUAUCUCUGUUGGAUUAGGUAAUAUUUCGUUCAUUUGUUUUAUUUAUAUUGAACCAAAAUGUAAACGCAACAUGCAAAGUGUUGGUCCCAUCUUACAUGAGCUUAAAUAAAAGAUCCCAGAAAUGUUCCAUACGCACAAAAAGCUUAUUUCUCUAAAAUGUGUUUACAUCCCUGUUAGUGAACAUUUUUCCUUUGCUAAGGUGAUCCAUCCACUUGAUAGGUGUGGCAUAUCAAAAAGUUGAUUAAACAGCAUGAUAAUUACACAAGUGCACCUUGGCAGUACGUCCAACCGGUUUCACAACCACAGAACACUUGUAACCACACCCGCCCAGGACCUCCACAUCUGGCUUCUUCACCUGCGGAAUCGUCUGAGACCAGCUGAUGAAAGAAAUUUGUAUUUCUGUCUAAUAAUUUCCCCUUUGUGGGAGAACUCAUUCUGAUUGGCUGGGCCUAGCUCCCCCAUGGCUGUGCCCCUGUCAUGUGAAAUCCAUAGAUUAGGGCCUAAUUCAUUUAUUUAAAUUAACUGAUUUCCUUAUAUGAACUGUAAUGCCAUAAAAUCAUUGAAAUUGUCGCAUUUAUAUUUUUGUUCAGUAUACAGUACCUUCAGAAAGUAUUCAGACCCAUUGACUUUUUUCACAUUUAGUUUUUUUCCCUCAUCAAUCUGCACACACUAUCCCAUAAUGACAAAGCAAAAAAUGUUUUUUAGAUAUGUUUUUUAAAAAAUGGUAAUAAAUUAGCAAAAAUCACAGUAAGUAUUCAGACCCUUUACUCAGUACUUUGAAGCACUUUUGGCAGCAAAUACAGCAUCGAGUCUUCUCGGGGAUGACGUUACAAGCUUGGCACACCUUUAUUUGGGGAGUUUCUCCCAUUUCUUCUUUGCAGAUCUUCUCAAGCUCUGUCAGGUUGGAUGGAGAGUGUUGCUGCACAGCUGUUUAAUCAGCUUCUUGAUAUGCCACACUUGUCGGGUGGAUGGAUUAUCUUGGCAAAGGAGAAAUGCUCACUAACAUGGAUGUAAACAAAUUUGUUCACAAAAUUGGAGAGAAGGAAGCUUUUUGUGCAUAUGGAACAUUUCUGGGAUCUUUUAUUUCAGCUCAUGAAACAUGGGACCAACACUUUAAAUGUUGCGUUUUUAUAUUUUGGUUCUGUGUAGUUUACAUUCUUGUCAAAGGGAACGGUGUACAGAACUCUAUGUAUAUGUAUGUUUAAGAAGAGUUAGAGUUAAAUGUAAUCAAUUUAAUGAAAAGUGCUUUAACCAGCAUAUUAAAGAAAUACAUUUUACUUUUA
Long non-coding RNA from Oncorhynchus keta (chum salmon), 3316 nucleotides. RefSeq lists it as uncharacterized. Lineage: Eukaryota; Metazoa; Chordata; Actinopteri; Salmoniformes; Salmonidae. The record is from RefSeq and is a predicted model, not a curated record. The transcript is spliced from 2 exons.